UGGAAGAGGACCUCAGAGGGGUGAGAGGGCUCGGUUGGAUCAGGGUGAAGUAGUGAGGAGAGGACAAUUCCAGAAAGAAGGAGCAAAGGCACCUGCCAGGAGGAAGCCUAGGAUUCGAUGGGAAGUGGGGAUUUCUGGCCAGGUGGGCAGAGCCAGGACAUGGGGCAUUCUGAUCCCUGGUUGAGGAGUUGUGCUUUGAUGCCACACAGAAGGGGUGUCAUCAUGACAAUAGAGGAACAGUGGGGAAGGGCCUGGGUGCAGCAGGGCGUUCUGAGGGCCCUAGAGCUUGGCUGGAGGUGUCCAGGCAGGAAGCACUGAGGCUGGGUCACAGACAAGGCAGGAUGGAGCCUGGAGCUGGAGACUUCUCAGAGGCUGAGCCCAGCGUCUGGGAACCAGUGGGACUCAGGGGCCACUGCAGAAUGGCCUCUGCAGUGGCCACCCUGCAGAGCAGAAUGGCUCACCCUGGGUGAGCUGCAGGGCGUGCACCCGGGCUGCUCCCAGGCUCGUCCACGCUCUGCCCAAAUGACCAAGUCCACUUCUCCGGGUGGGAGACGUGUGGGGUUCUCUGGCUCUCCACCAUGGUCCUGUGGUGACUGAGCCGCCGGCUCUCCUGCAGCAGGAGGUCUGCGCAGGCCAGUAUGGGCCGGGCAUGGCGGAGCUGGAGGAACAGAUCGCGGAGCUCAACAUCCUGCAGAACGAGAUCAACGACCAAGGAGAGCAGCUGCGGAGCCUGGUGGGGCCCGCCCCGUGGGUGAGCCGGGAGGAUGUUACAUCCGGGGCCAGCCCCAGCCCCUGUUUUUCCAGUCAGAGCCGGAGCUAGAUCGGCUGGGCCCUGGGGAUAGGGGUGGGUGGGGUAUGGCUUGCCCAGAUCUUAGGGGGCCGUCUCCCUGCGCCCCACCUCUCACGGGCUUGUUUCUCCCCUUGGUCAAGGCAGGAUGCCGCCACCAUCCGGAGCCAAUACCGAGACCUACUGGUGAGCAGGAGGGAGGGUCGGGCAGGGUGGCUGCAGGUGGGCCUGGGUGGCCGCCCGGACCCUGCCCGGGGCCAGUGUUCCUGAGCGCGGCCCAAUGGCGCCUUUUGCCCCCCACUUUCUCUCUCCCCACCCUGCUGCUGGCGGCGGGUCCUGAGCACAGAGGGCGGCGUCGUGGCGCGGGCAGAGCCUGGGCAGCCUGUACACGCACUGCAGGGCUGCACGUGGCAGCUGAGCGCCCUGGCGGAGCAGCAGUGCCGCAUCCUGCAGCAGGACUGGAGCGACCUCAUGGCCGACCUGCGGGCGUGCGGCGGGAAUACGAGGUCGGCUGGCAGAGGUUGGGGCCAGGCGGGGGCGGCCAGGGCCAUUCUGGUCCUCACCCGCCGCUCCCCACCCGACUCGCCCCCAGCACUCAAGCAGCACGAGCUGCUGAGCCAGGAGCAGAGCGUAAACCAGCUGGAGGACGACGGCAAGCGCAUGGUGGAGCUGCGGCACCCCGCGGUGGGGCCCAUCCAGGCCCACCAGGAGGCCCUGAAGAUGGAGUGGCAGAACUUCCUGAACCUGUGCAUCUGCCAGGAGACCCAGCUGCAGCACGUGGAGGACUACAGCCGGUGAGCCCUCGGGCAGGCGGCAGGGGCGGCAGGGGCGGGAGGUCCCACAGCACUCCUGCCCACAGGAGAGGCACUGCACCUCUCAACUAGACAGAGCUGGCAGGGCGCAGUGGCUCACACCUGUAAUCCCAGCACUUUGGGAGGCCGAGGCUGGCGGAUCACUUGAGGUCAGGAGUUCGAGAUCAGCCUGGCCAACAUGGUGAAACCCUGUCUCUACUAAAAAUACCAAAAUUAGCCAGACGUGGUGGCGCACGCCUGUAAUCCCAGCUGCUCAGGAGGCUGAGGCAGGAGAAUCGCUUGAACCCAGGAUGUGGAGGUUGCAGUGGGCCGAGAUUGGUCCACUGCAUUCUAGCCUGGGUGACAAAGAGAGACUCUACCUCAAAAAUAAAAUAAAAUAGAGCUGUGUGGUUGCCACUCGGUCCCAGAGGGAAGGAAAGGCAUGGGCACAUUCUCAACAGGGUGAAGCGGUUCCCAGGGGGGUGAAAAUUGGUUCUUAAUGGCAGAAAAAUAACUCUUCUUAUGCAUGAAGUACAGAUCCACAUACAGCACCUAAGCUGUAUACAGCAUAUCUGUGGUAUAAAACUUUCGUGGGGGCCAGGUGUGGUGGCUCACACCUGUCAUUCCAGCACUUUGGGAGGCUGAGCCAGGAGAAUUGCUUGACCCCAGUAGUUCCAGACCAGCCUGGGCAACAUAGUGAGACCCUGUCUCUAUACAAACAGAUAAAUCUCUAUCAAAAUAAAUAAGUAAAUAAAAUUUUAUGGGGAUGAGGUGGGGGAAAAUAAAGAAAAGAUUUCUUAAAAGGCUCUUUAGGAGAAUAAUAAUGAAAAAAAACGGUUGAGAAACCCUGAUAUAAUAUACAACUGGGAUUUGGGGGCAGAUAAUGUUUCAUACAUUUUCCUAUAGAACCACAAACUAUGAUCACACACUGACAAAAAUUCCGUAAAAACACUUGGAAUGCUUCUUUAAAGCAUAGCUUCU
Molecule: long non-coding RNA, 2559 nt
Organism: Pan paniscus (pygmy chimpanzee)
Lineage: Eukaryota; Metazoa; Chordata; Mammalia; Primates; Hominidae
Source: Ensembl